AUGGACCUUUGAAUUGAGAGUCCUCCCAUUUCAGUUUGAGUACUGGGAUUACAGGAGUGUACUGCCAUACUGAAUUUGACAUCUCCCUCAUACUAGAAAAACAUUCAGGAUAGAAACUCCUCAGGAAGCCAGAGUUAAAACCACAUUUGGGCCAUCAAAUUGAAAUUCAAGUCCUAUUAAUCAAUAGAUCAGUAGUUUGUUUUUCAAGUUUCUAGUUUCAUCAGUUGGUGUUCUCUGAGGGUUAAUUCCUUUAAUUAGAGAUGGUACAUGGAAGGGAAACAUGGAAAGGUUAGAAGUUUUGUUAUUGUCAUAAUCUGCCCAAGUUCAAGUUCACUGUUUAACAGAGCCAUAUUGGAAACUGGUUAUUUCAAAUUCUUUGGGGAAUGCAUGUAAAGUAAAUAAGAUCUAUUACUGCCGUCAUAAGGAGAAACAAAGUCCAGGGAGCCUUGCUUCACAGAGAAUGUCAGACUUUUGAGCUGAUUUUAUAAGCAAGAGCUCAUCUUAGCAAGAUCACCUGAAAGUGAGUGGUGGCGAUGAGGGGUUGUUCCAGUCCAGCGGAACACUGUAACAUGAAUGUAAAUGUGAACUGAAGAUAACUGGACAAGGAUCAUCUUGACCAGAGAGACUAUGAGUUUGACAUAGAAAUAAACAAUGAGGUGACUAGCAGCAGUCCACCCUUUGUUCUUAGCUCAGAGGCUCUGGGUAUAAAUACACCUAAGAGACAAUUAGAGGCAAUUACUAAUUAGAGACCCACAGCUAAUUUAAUAUGGGUGGGAAACUAGCCUCAGGAAACCACCCCUAAGGGAUAAAAGGAAUAGAAUACUUGAAGAUUUUCUUUUUGUUAUCUCUUAAGUUGUCUUUGAUGCUGGCUGGAUUUGGUAAACAAUAGUUUUACCUUAGAAGGGGUUGAGUUGAAAUGAUAUUUGGAAAGUUUUCCAUAAUUGGCAUUUAAUUUCCUUCUUUUUAAAAAAUGUUUUUGUUAUUAUAAAGGUGAUGCACAGAGAGAUUAAGUUAUGUAAGUCAGGUAAAGAGUACAUUUCUUUUUGGACAAGGUCAUC
Molecule: long non-coding RNA, 1058 nt
Organism: Perognathus longimembris pacificus (Pacific pocket mouse)
Lineage: Eukaryota; Metazoa; Chordata; Mammalia; Rodentia; Heteromyidae
Exons: 3
Source: RefSeq, a predicted model, not a curated record